This 507-nucleotide ribosomal RNA is filed under the name uncultured bacterium. RNAcentral's name for it is "partial 16S ribosomal RNA". The record is from RNAcentral.
GGAGUUAGCCGGUGCUUCUUCUGUGAGUGAUGUCCUUCAUGCCGGUUAUUGACCCGCAGGCCUUCUUCCUCACUGAAAGUGCUUUACAACCCGAAGGCCUUCUUCACACACGCGGCAUGGCUGGAUCAGGGUUGCCCCCAUUGUCCAAUAUUCCCCACUGCUGCCUCCCGUAGGAGUCUGGGCCGUGUCUCAGUCCCAGUGUGGCUGAUCAUCCUCUCAGACCAGCUACGGAUCGUCGCCUUGGUGAGCCGUUACCUCACCAACCAGCUAAUCCGACAUAGGCUCAUCCGAUAGCGCGAGGCCCGAAGGUCCCCCGCUUUCCCCCGUAGGGCGUAUGCGGUAUUAGCCUGGGUUUCCCCAGGUUAUCCCCCACUACCGGGCAGAUUCCUAUGCAUUACUCACCCGUCCGCCGCUCGCCACCAGGGAGCAAGCUCCCCGUGCUGCCGCUCGACUUGCAUGUGUUAGGCCUGCCGCCAGCGUUCAAUCUGAGCCAGGAUCAAACUCUGA